CUCACAGUUCGGGUAAAGUAACCUGACACAGUAAAAGAAAAUGAAGAAGAGGACUGGAGGUUGGCAUGGUGGUUAAGGACUCCAAGUUCUGCUUUGCUUCCUGAUAAAAGCUUUACGAAAUGAAUUGAUGGAGAGAAAACAAGAAAGAGGCCAGCUGGUGGCACGGUGGUUGAGGCGGCUAAGUUCUACAUGACCAGCUUCACAGUCUGAAUCAGGACCAGGGACUUGAAAAGCACACCAGUGAGCUCUCAUGCCCUAUGGCAAAAUUAAAA
This is a long non-coding RNA of Tupaia belangeri chinensis (Chinese tree shrew), 272 nucleotides long. RefSeq lists it as uncharacterized. The record is from RefSeq and is a predicted model, not a curated record. NCBI's taxonomy places the organism in Eukaryota, Metazoa, Chordata, Mammalia, Scandentia, Tupaiidae. The transcript is spliced from 3 exons.